AUUGCCCCAGUAACGGCGAGUGAAGCGGCAAGAGCUCAAAUUUGAAAUCUGGCCCUUUCAGGGUCCGAGUUGUAAUUUGUAGAGGGCGCUUUGGCGUCGGCUACGGCCUAAGUUCCUUGGAACAGGACGUCACAGAGGGUGAGAACCCCGUACGUGGCCGCUAGCCUUCGCCGUGUAAAGCCCCUUCGACGAGUCGAGUUGUUUGGGAAUGCAGCUCUAAAUGGGAGGUAAAUUUCUUCUAAAGCUAAAUACUGGCCAGAGACCGAUAGCGCACAAGUAGAGUGAUCGAAAGAUGAAAAGCACUUUGGAAAGAGAGUCAAAAAGCACGUGAAAUUGUUGAAAGGGAAGCGCUUGCAGCCAGACUUGCCUGUAGUUGCUCAUCCGAGCUCCCGCUCGGUGCACUCUUCUAUGGGCAGGCCAGCAUCAGUCCGGGCGGUCGGAUAAAGGUCUCGGGAAUGUAGCUCCCCUCGGGGAGUGUUAUAGCCCGGGGCGCCAUGCGACCAGCCUGGACUGAGGUCCGCGCAUCUGCUAGGAUGCUGGCGUAAUGGCUGUAAGCGGCCCGUCUUGAAACACGGACCAAGGAGUCUAACAUCUAUGCGAGUGUUUGGGUGUCAAGCCCGGGCGCGCAAUGAAAGUGAACGGAGGUGGGAACCCCUUACGGGGCGCACCAUCGACCGAUCCUGAUGUCUUCGGAUGGAUUUGAGUAAGAGCAUAGCUGUUGGGACCCGAAAGAUGGUGAACUAUGCCUGAAUAGGGUGAAGCCAGAGGAAACUCUGGUGGAGGCUCGCAGCGGUUCUGACGUGCAAAUCGAUCGUCAAAUUUGGGCAUAGGGGCGAAAGACUAAUCGAACUAUCUAGUAGCUGGUUCCUGCCGAAGUUUCCCUCAGGAUAGCAGUAACGUUUUCAGUUUUAUGAGGUAAAGCGAAUGAUUAGAGGCAUGGGGGUUGAAACAACCUUCACCUAUUCUCAAACUUUAAAUAUGUAAGAAGUCCUUGUUACUUAGUUGAACGUGGACAUUUGAAUGUACCGUUACUAGUGGGCCAUUUUUGGUAAGCAGAACUGGCGAUGCGGGAUGAACCGAACGCGGGGUUAAGGUGCCAGAAUGCACGCUCAUCAGACACCACAAAAGGUGUUAGUUCAUCUAGACAGCAGGACGGUGGCCAUGGAAGUCGGAAUCCGCUAAGGAGUGUGUAACAACUCACCUGCCGAAUGAACUAGCCCUGAAAAUGGAUGGCGCUCAAGCGUGCUACCCAUACCCCGCCGCCGGGGCAGAAUUUACGCCCCGGCGAGUAGGCAGGCGUGGAGGCUUGUGACGAAG
Molecule: ribosomal RNA, 1317 nt
Filed under: Cryptoclypeus oxysporus
Lineage: Eukaryota; Fungi; Ascomycota; Dothideomycetes; Pleosporales; Lophiotremataceae
Description: eukaryotic LSU rRNA
Rfam family: Eukaryotic large subunit ribosomal RNA
Source: RNAcentral